This is a long non-coding RNA of Caretta caretta (loggerhead turtle), 1498 nucleotides long. RefSeq lists it as uncharacterized. NCBI's taxonomy places the organism in Eukaryota, Metazoa, Chordata, Testudines, Cheloniidae. The record is from RefSeq and is a predicted model, not a curated record.
AUGUUACCACGUUGCACCGGAGUUUUCACGUGUCCCUCCUAAAUCGAGCUCUUCCGAAUUUUCCUCUGGGGUGGUGGGCAAUGCCAGGGCCAGGGUUAAAGAGCAUUCCCCAAAGUUACCAGGAAGGUCCCGCAUCCUCAUAUACUCCCUCUGAAAGAGACAAGAAGCCCCUAGGAGAGAGAUGCUCUUCCUGACGCAGGCUCUGGGAUGCUGCUGUGCUUGCUAGACUGAAAGCUCACCCCCUCGAGAGAACAGGUUUUUUAAUGGCGAUAUGGAAGAUGGGACUCAAAGAGUUUGUUUUUCUUUCUUUUUUUAAAUAUUCUCCUUUUAUCACUUGCAAAAGGGCAGCUGAGGUUUUAAACUUGUGUUAUCUGCGAAACCAGGAUUUUUUUUUUAUUGUUUAGAUAUAGAUGUUUUGAUCAACAAGGUUUACAAAUUAUGCUACCAUUAAAAACAAAAACGACAACCAAGAAGUCAAAAUCAUCUCGCUAAUAGAUUUGUAAAGAAAUUGAUUCCCAUGAGCAGCUACAGUCCAAGUCAAUGAUAAGAGCAAGGGGCCCGAUUCUGCUUUCCUUGGUCAGAAAAUACGUCUGGAUCUACCCCUAGCUUUUUAUUUAUUGUUUUUAUUGUUGUUAAUAUCCCAGUCCGGGAUUUCCUCUUCACUGCUGCUCUUCUACCAGUUGGAAUUGCUGACCAUCCUGCUCCCAUCACGUUAUAUGUAAAAGCAAUACUAAUAAUUAAUAAUAACUCAUAAUAAUAAUAAUAAGAAGGCUGGUCUUUGAUGCUGAAUGUUUUCGGAUGAUUUUCAGAUUAGAAACACAGAAUAAAUGCUUAAGAGCCCCUUCUUGACUCUGCUCCCAGCAAGCAUCCUGUGGAUUCCUACAGGUGUAACCUGCCCCCUCUGCAAUGGUCCAUGCACAUAGCCAAUGACCGACCUAAGGGUACUUAGUAGAGGGUGGUCAGUAUUCCCCGUUACAAGUUCUUUUGCUGACCGUGGACUCAAACCUUAAGGCCCUAUCGCUUAGGCUCCCAAAGCUCCCCCUGAAGUCUUACUUCUGCUGUCAUUUACAUCAGAGUAAAUCCUCAGUGACUGCAGUGGAGUCAAACAAGUUAUUCUACUCCUAAGGAAAGUUUUGGCUGUGCAAAUUUGGAAGAUCGGGCAAUAUAGUGUUUCUAUAAACUGACGGGGUUACAAAAAACCCACAGAUACAUUUGUUGCACUAAAAAAACACCUCCAAGGGUUUAUAAUGCUUUUUUCAUAUACCCUCAAGUAAAUUAAAUCCUCCUUAAAUCUUCUCAAGUGCAACUAGAGACGGCAGCUAAUAUUAAUAUUACCAUUAAUUGAAAUGAUAAAGGUGUCUGAGUUAUUGGGAGUUUUCCUUGAGCUUUUUACAUGUAUGAUUUAGGACUGCACUCAGAAGCAAUCGUUUCUCUGUGUACAACUUACAGUACUGAUUCCGCGAUUCUUCACAUUUGCUGGAUGCCGUUAAUGCUGGGG